AGUGAACGCUGGCGGUAGGCCUAACACAUGCAAGUCGAACGGCAGCACAGUAAGGGCUUGCUCUUACGGGUGGCGAGUGGCGGACGGGUGAGGAAUACAUCGGAAUCUACUUUUUCGUGGGGGAUAACGUAGGGAAACUUACGCUAAUACCGCAUACGACCUACGGGUGAAAGCAGGGGAUCUUCGGACCUUGCGCGAUUGAAUGAGCCGAUGUCGGAUUAGCUAGUUGGCGGGGUAAAGGCCCACCAAGGCGACGAUCCGUAGCUGGUCUGAGAGGAUGAUCAGCCACACUGGAACUGAGACACGGUCCAGACUCCUACGGGAGGCAGCAGUGGGGAAUAUUGGACAAAGGGCGCAAGCCUGAUCCGGCCAUACCGCGUGGGUGAAGAAGGCCUUCGGGUUGUAAAGCCCUUUUGUUGGGAAAGAAAAGCAGCAGGUUAAUACCCCGCUGUUCUGACGGUACCCAAAGGAUAAGCACCGGCUAACUUCGUG
This 492-nucleotide ribosomal RNA is filed under the name uncultured bacterium. RNAcentral's name for it is "partial 16S ribosomal RNA". It matches the Rfam family "Bacterial small subunit ribosomal RNA", at positions 29 to 507 of the family's 1533-position model. The record is from RNAcentral.